This 94-nucleotide transfer RNA is filed under the name Desulfobacterales bacterium. Its description in RNAcentral is "tRNA-Ser". It matches the Rfam family "tRNA". Rfam says of the family: Transfer RNA (tRNA) molecules are approximately 80 nucleotides in length. Their secondary structure includes four short double-helical elements and three loops (D, anti-codon, and T loops). Further hydrogen bonds mediate the characteristic L-shaped molecular structure. tRNAs have two regions of fundamental functional importance: the anti-codon, which is responsible for specific mRNA codon recognition, and the 3' end, to which the tRNAs corresponding amino acid is attached (by aminoacyl-tRNA synthetases). tRNAs cope with the degeneracy of the genetic code in two manners: having more than one tRNA (with a specific anti-codon) for a particular amino acid; and 'wobble' base-pairing, i.e. permitting non-standard base-pairing at the 3rd anti-codon position. Lineage: Bacteria; Pseudomonadati; Thermodesulfobacteriota; Desulfobacteria; Desulfobacterales. The record is from RNAcentral.
GGAGAGGUUGACCCCAGCGGGCUGCGGGGCCUGGUCUUGAAAACCAGCAGCGGUGAACAGUCGCAUCAGGGUUCGAAUCCCUGUCUCUCCGCCA